Molecule: non-coding RNA, 25 nt
Filed under: Cricetulus griseus (Chinese hamster)
Lineage: Eukaryota; Metazoa; Chordata; Mammalia; Rodentia; Cricetidae
Source: RNAcentral
CUCUUAAAUGUUGAGCUUGAGCUGA